GUGUCUUGACCAAAUUACGUGCCAGCUGUCGCGGUAAGACGUAGGAGACUAGUGUUAUUCAUCUUUAAUAGGUUUAAAGCGUACCUAGACGGUAAUUAAAGCCUACAUCAGGUACUUGUUUACUAGAGUUAAAUGUAAGGGUGUAUUAAAGUACUGUUGAGUGUAGAGAUGAAAUUCGUUGAUACCAAAUAAUUGGCACAGGUAUAGGCGAAAGCAUCACUUUAUGUAAUAACUGACGUUGACGGACGAAGGCUUUGUGUCGCGAACAGGAUUAGAUACCCCAGUAGUCUUAGCAGAAAAUUAUGAGUGUCAUAGGUUAGAUUAUAUCUGGUCUAUAAAUGAAAGUGUAAGCACUCCACCUCAAGAGUAAUUUGGCAACAUUGGAACUGAAAUCAUUAGACCGUUUCUGAAACCAGUAGUGAAGUAUGUUGUUUAAUUUGAUGAUCCGCAAAGAACCUUACCACAAUUUGAAUAUAAAUGAUUUAUUUUUACAAGCGUUGCACGGCUGUCUUCAGUUAAUGUCGUGAGAUAUUGGUUUAUUCCAUUAAAUUAACGUAAACCCGUACUUUAUUUUUAUAUAAAGUUUUUCAUUCGCUAUAAUGGAUGUGAUAACAGGGACUAAGACAAGUCAUCAUGGCCUAAAUAUUG
RNAcentral lists this ribosomal RNA (648 nucleotides) under Fuscopannaria mediterranea. RNAcentral describes it as "SSU rRNA". It matches the Rfam family "Bacterial small subunit ribosomal RNA", at positions 488 to 1209 of the family's 1533-position model. Lineage: Eukaryota; Fungi; Ascomycota; Lecanoromycetes; Peltigerales; Pannariaceae. The record is from RNAcentral.